Molecule: unclassified non-coding RNA, 291 nt
Filed under: Hevea brasiliensis (rubber tree)
Lineage: Eukaryota; Viridiplantae; Streptophyta; Magnoliopsida; Malpighiales; Euphorbiaceae
Source: RNAcentral
CCUUGGUGUCACCUUGUUGCCAAUGCAAUUCAGGCAAAUUAAAGAUCCGAUGGAAAUAGUUAGGUUGGUUGUUACAAGUCAAGGUGGAGCUUAUCUGAAUGUCGAUGAGAUUAUUGAACUAGCCAAACUUCUUGGGUUAAGCUCGUACGACGACAUAUCAGCUGUACAAGAAGCUAUUGCAAGAGAAGCUGCAGUAGUUGGAGAUCUCCAACUGGCUUUUGAUCUAUGUCUUGUUUUGGCCAAAAAAGGGCAUGGUUCGGUCUGGGACUUAUGUGCAGCACUGGCAAGAGG